Molecule: ribosomal RNA, 253 nt
Filed under: uncultured bacterium
Lineage: Bacteria
Description: partial 16S ribosomal RNA
Rfam family: Bacterial small subunit ribosomal RNA
Source: RNAcentral
UACGUAGGGACCAAGCGUUGUUCGGAUUUACUGGGCGUAAAGGGCGCGUAGGCGGCAAUUCAAGUCAGCUGUGAAAUCUCCGAGCUUAACUCGGAACGGUCAGCUGAUACUGUUUUGCUAGAGUGCAGAAAGGGCAACCGGAAUUCUUGGUGUAGUGGUGAAAUGCGUAGAUAUCAAGAGGAACACCUGAGGCGAAGGCGGGUUGCUAGGCUGACACUGACGCUGAGGCGCGAAAGCUAGGGUAGCAAACGGG